RNAcentral lists this ribosomal RNA (429 nucleotides) under Actinomycetes bacterium. Its description in RNAcentral is "Actinobacteria bacterium partial 16S ribosomal RNA". It matches the Rfam family "Bacterial small subunit ribosomal RNA", at positions 355 to 776 of the family's 1533-position model. The record is from RNAcentral. Lineage: Bacteria; Bacillati; Actinomycetota; Actinomycetes.
UAGGGAAUCUUCCGCAAUGGGCGAAAGCCUGACGGAGCAACGCCGCGUGAGUGAUGAAGGUCUUCGGAUCGUAAAACUCUGUUAUUAGGGAAGAACAAAUGUGUAAGUAACUAUGCACGUCUUGACGGUACCUAAUCAGAAAGCCACGGCUAACUACGUGCCAGCAGCCGCGGUAAUACGUAGGUGGCAAGCGUUAUCCGGAAUUAUUGGGCGUAAAGCGCGCGUAGGCGGUUUUUUAAGUCUGAUGUGAAAGCCCACGGCUCAACCGUGGAGGGUCAUUGGAAACUGGAAAACUUUAGUGCAGAAGAGGAAAGUGGAAUUCCAUGUGUAGCGGUGAAAUGCGCAGAGAUAUGGAGGAACGCCAGUGGCGAAGGCGACUUUCUGGUCUGUAACUGACGCUGAUGUGCGAAAGCGGGGGGAUCAAACAGG